This 3300-nucleotide long non-coding RNA is filed under the name Heterocephalus glaber (naked mole-rat). RNAcentral's name for it is "lncRNA (ENSHGLG00100047179.1)". The record is from RNAcentral. Lineage: Eukaryota; Metazoa; Chordata; Mammalia; Rodentia; Bathyergidae.
CACCCCCGCCCGCCCCGAGAAAAGUUUUCACCGAAAACCCGAGGCUGCCAGAGCCGGAGUGGAAGCCACUGACGUCACUGGCGGGCUAGGGCACGGAGGGCGCCUGGAGACUCGGAUGGCGACCGAGGAUGUGGCUGCUUCCAAGGUGUCUCCAUCUGCGGGCAGGGAGGGGGCUCAGCCCCGGAAGCGGGCAGAGUUUGCACAGUUCAGGAGCGAAGGGUGGGAGCAAGCUGCCCGGGCCUGGCCUACUUGACGGGACGCGGGGUGCGUGCCUGCUUCCCAGGCUCCCCCCUCCCCUGCCAGGUGCCCGCAGCGGGGGCGACGCGGCCAGGGAGGGGUGCACGGAGGUGUCGCAGGACCGAGGCCACGCGCAAGUCGCCCUGUUCCUUGAGGCUUCCAUUUGCACCGGGUCGAGGUCACCGCUGCCCUCCGAGGCCGGGCUCUUCCCCUGCACCCUGGGAUGCCCGCCCGGGUUGUCCCACUCGGGAACAGGACGCAUCAUCCUGGAGCCGGGGCAAGAGCGUGCUCGGGGCCACAGCCCCCUUUCCGCCAGCCCCCAGCCCCGGCUGGGCUCCAGGUUCCCCGUCCCCAGGGUGCCGCUCAGCUCCGGGAUGUACUUUUGGCUCUCAGCCUCUGAAGUCAGGGUUGUCCACCGGUGUCCCCGCAUCCUGAACUUCUGCUGUCCCUGUGGCCAGCAGAGGCGCGGCGCCAGCUGCUGAAGUGGGAAGAGGGCAUGUUUCUGUCGGAGGGGUCUGGACAGACGCCUGCGUCCCUUUACGCAGCCCUGGGGAGGUGAGUUCCCCAUGGGCGGCAGCCACACGCGGAUCCCGGGACCCGAAGCUGAAGGCCUCUCGCCCCGCCCAGGGCCAGGGCCUCCUCUGCCCGAGCCCCUCACACCCUUCUUUCGCCUUCACCCUGCUCAGCUCCUGAUCAUCCUCGCCAAGCUCAGAGGCCUCCAAGCGCGGCCAAGCUUGGCUGGCGAAGCCGUGGCGCCCCGGCCCUUUCUCGCCUCUGCACCGGCUGUGCUCCGAGCUGCCUCCCUUCCAAGGACACUGGGCAGCCGGCUUCCUUCUGCUUCUGCCCCCCUCCCCCCGCUUAGAAACGGUACUUUCCGUUGGGUCCCCCAGAGCAGCCCAGGGUCUAACUCCCAACGCCCCGCGGCCCCAUGUUAAAGCUCCUGCGGUGAGCGGGCCUUGCGCGCAGCGCCCUGGCAGUCUUGCAAACAGGAUUCCUGGGAAAGUUUGCUCGGACUCCGUCAGCCCAGGACAGACCCCCCCCCCCCCCACCUCUGCUGCUCUCGACCUCUGCCCCCAGAGGCAGGAGUUGGGCUUCCUGGGAGCAGCAAGCCAACGCCACGGCCCCUCCUCCCUCCACAGCUGCCGGUCCCGAGGGCGCAGGACCCAGCCCCAGGCUGUGCUCCCGGAGCCGGGGGAGGAGAGCGAACCUCAGGGCUGGCUCUCCACAGCCGCCGGAGCUGAGUGCAUCCCGAUCGGCUUUUAGGAUGGCAUUGACUGGGACAAGCUGUUCCCAGCCCCGUAAGCGUUAAUCUGCCUGUUAAUCAAAGCACUGAGGGGCUCAAUGAGGGUUUUAUUAGCGACCGGAGAGCAGAGGCAGCAGCCAGGGAUCAAAAGCCAGGGUCCCAGGUACUUUGUCAGCAAGGCACUCAAAAAAAUUGUAUUUUCAAUUAGAGAACAAUUCGGGGCUUUUCAUCAUCUCCUAACCAGGUCUCACAGAUGCUGACUUCCAGACUGUGCGCAGGGGAGAACCAAAUGCCCGGGGGCGGACCGGGGCGGCCGAGGGGCCCUGACGCCUCCCGACGCAGUCGAAAGGGAAGCCGCGAGCCACACCGCCAAUGUGGGCUUCAGACCCUGGGUCGCCCGCGCCACUGCCGGGCUGCCGGAAGUUUACGGAGCCGGAGCCGAGAGACUCCCACGCGCCUCCUCUGCCCUGGAGGGAGGCUGGGUCCCCUCCAGGGUGCCUCUCAAACCCUAAAACAAAUACAUAAAAGCCCAGGCCUUGGGGACUUUUGAACAGCAAUUGCUCCAAUAAUCCAAAUUGUACGAGAACUCCAGGGAAAAGAGCCAACCCAGCCACACCCGCCCUGCGAUCGCGAGGGCAGCGGCGAGGCCACCGCGAGGACUCGGUCAGAGGCGAUUAUGUCACCGCGUUUUCUCGCCGUGACAGCCGAAUAAACACGAUCUCCAAUAAACAUCUCUAAUGAGGGAGGAGGCCCGAGGACGGCUGGGUUUGAUUUAUGACUGGAGAAGGUCCUCUGCCCACAGCGAGGCGGGCAGCCUGCUCUCCGCUCAGCUCGAGGAGAGAUCCGCGUGGGACCCAGCCCAGAGAAUGAAGUGUAAAACAGCAGAACGAGAGAUGAGGAAAACAGAAGCCAGACUGGUCCCCAGCCCGUGGUGCAGAUGGGGUGUGCCCAGGAAUGGUGGCUUUCACUGCUCUUCGUCCACCCUGCCGGAGCUGAAGGAGGGCAGCAGUCCUGUCCCGGAGGCAGGCGUGCACGACCUCACUGCACACCCAGCUCUGCAGCCGGGCGCGGAGUGAGCAGUCAAAGGCUGCCUUACCUGCCCAUGUGGAGAAGGUGUUGGCUAAGGGACCCCAUAGCCUUUGUUGAGGGACAAUAACUACCGACUGUUACACUUCCAUUUGGAAAGAACCUUUAUAAAAUGCGCUGCUUAACGUGGGACACUGAGGAAGGAAGAUCACUGGGAGUCCCGGCCCAGCUUGCAUUGCACAGCGAGAGCCUGUCUCAGAAAACCAAAAAUAAAAUGAAGUAAAAUAAAAUGCAUUGGCUAAAUAGAUACAGUACCAUUUUGGGGUAAUUACUACUGCUCAGGAAAGUAAGGGCGAGAACUUGAAGAGAAGCAGUGAGAGAGCUGAAAGGGGAGGCGCGGGAACAGCCCCUGGACCUGGGGCCCCUCAUGUUGCCUCUGUCUGGCUGCACAGCCUGCGGACCCGAGGCCCAGGAGCCUGGCCAGGCUGACCAAGCACGACCAGCAGAGGCUGUGGCCGGAGGGCAUCGAGCAGACGGCGUUUGCCGGCCCUUGCAUGGCGGUCCCUGCGGCUGAGGACACUGCUUGGUCCUGGCCGGGGCUCGGACCCGAGCUUGGAGCUUGGCAGCUCCCUCAGAGGGAGCUCCUGUCUUCCCAACUGCAAAAGAUCUACCUCCCUGUUUCCUGUGGUCUGUCUUUUACUUUGCUCUUCAUUUAUACUCUGGAUUUCUCAUAUAAGAUAAGCCAUGCGGUACUGAAGCCUGUGUGUCUGAUUUCACUUAACGUUUGCAUCCAC